GGUUAAGUUAGAAAGGGCGCACGGUGGAUGCCUUGGCACUAGGAGCCGAAGAAGGACGGGACUAACACCGAUAUGCUUUGGGGAGCUGUACGUAAGCGUUGAUCCAGAGAUUUCCGAAUGGGGGAACCCACUAUCUUUAGUCGGAUAGUAUCCUUACGUGAAUACAUAGCGUGAGGAAGGCAGACCCAGGGAACUGAAACAUCUAAGUACCUGGAGGAAGAGAAAGAAAAAUCGAUUUCCUGAGUAGCGGCGAGCGAAACGGAAAGAGCCCAAACCAAGAAGCUUGCUUCUUGGGGUUGUAGGACACUCUAUACGGAGUUACAAAAGAAAGUUA
RNAcentral lists this ribosomal RNA (334 nucleotides) under Listeria monocytogenes. Its description in RNAcentral is "partial 23S ribosomal RNA". It matches the Rfam family "Bacterial large subunit ribosomal RNA", at positions 1 to 335 of the family's 2925-position model. Lineage: Bacteria; Bacillati; Bacillota; Bacilli; Caryophanales; Listeriaceae. RNAcentral also lists the same sequence under 1 other name. The record is from RNAcentral.